This is a long non-coding RNA of Cynoglossus semilaevis (tongue sole), 399 nucleotides long. RefSeq lists it as uncharacterized. The record is from RefSeq and is a predicted model, not a curated record. The transcript has 2 exons. Lineage: Eukaryota; Metazoa; Chordata; Actinopteri; Pleuronectiformes; Cynoglossidae.
CACAGAGUCAACUUUCCGUACCGUUACACCCCCUAGUGUUCAAUGACCCGUCACUGUGUUUUUAUUCUGAACUUGAACUGACAAAGUGAAACCCUACCUUUGUCCUGCCUUUCCAGGUGGUGUACUUCACAGCCACCUUCCCGUAUCUGAUGCUGCUGGUGUUGCUGGUCCGUGGACUCACUCUCCCAGGAGCCAAGGACGGCCUAGCCUUCUACCUGUACCCAGACCCCACCAGGUUGGUGGAUCCUCAGGUUUGGAUGGAUGCAGGGUCACAAGUUCUUUUCUCUUAUGGGAUUUGUCAGGGGAGUUUGACUGCUCUGGGUAGUUACAAUCAGUAUAACAAUGAUUGUUACAAGUAAGUGAUUGAUGCUUCGUGACUUUUAUGCCGUAGUCGUUCCG